UGGGUCAAACAUGAGUCACAGCAGCCAGUACUUUGGGGCUGGCAGGUAAUCCUCUUUGGUUUCCUCCCCAGGGGCGUUGUUUGAUCAGCCUGGCCUGCUGAACCCUCGGGAGCAGGCUGUUACUCAGGGGAGGCGAUAUUCUUCUCCAGCGCCUCUCUGUCCCAGGUUUAGACGCGGUUGCCAUCCACCUAAGUCUCUGGCUCAGCGUCUUCUCUUUCCCCGGAGGGAAACAAAGCCCUUUGCAUGCUCUGGUUCAUUGCGCGGCUGGAGGCCAAGUCACCGCAGCCUCAGACGCAGGUGUCUGGGGUGACACAGAGCGACAUCGCGCCUCCGGAAUAAGGGCAGCUCUUCCGCCUUCAAGGCUGUGAAAUGUCAGGCGUGAUUAGAAAGGUCACUUGUCCUGACAGCUCUCUGUGCUUCCCGGAGAGCAGCCUUCCUGCUGUGAACAUUCUUAAUUGUGUUUCCCCGUGGUGGGUGUCAGCCUGCUCAAUUCCUUAUGACGACGGAAGCCCCACCUUCCACCCAUCCUCCAGGGAGAGAGAGGAGGGGGGAAAAAGCCAAAGAUCACAAAACCUUGGGGGGCAGGAAGUGGGGCGGGGACCGAGGCAGUUCUCAGACAACGAGAGUGCCAGGAGGAUUUAUUUCUAGGAAUAGUGUUUGCGGCAGAAAAAGGAAACGUCUGUGAAGGAAAGGCUGAUGAUCCUGCUGUAACAACAGUGGGCUGACGCCUCGAGCUGCUGGGGUUUGUGAAUGAAUGUUUCUAGUACUGAGUUAAGAAGUGAGGUCUUCAGUAGAUGUCUCAGCAGACACCACAGAGUUCCCCCGGUCAUGGUGUCUCUUCACAGCAAUAGAACACUGACUAAGAAAGAGGCCUUCAAACGAAAAUUCAAAAGCUGGGAGCCCUCAGGUAAGUGUGGAGAGUGACAGGCAGUGGAGUCUCACUGCAAUGUCUUCUGGGAAGCUGAGAUGGCAGGCCGAACGAAGAAGUCAGUCCAAAUCCCACCAGUCUCCAACUGUCACUAUUCGGAGGGGGAGUGAAUUUUUCUCCAUGGCAGUGAAAAGCCUGAGGGUGGGUUGCUCAGAGCACUUGGGAUGAGGGACAGAAGGACAGCAGAUACUCUCCCCAGCCUCUUCACUGCCGAGUAUUCAAGAAAUGUAAGAAAAUGGAUGUGAUGGAGGUGGGUUCUGGUUAUGAUGUGACUAUCUCCUGACACGUCUCAGGCAAUCCUCCUACCACCAAACCGUGGUACAAUACUGCACCAGGAUAUAUGCCAUGACACACUUUCAUACUGUGACAUCACAUCAUGUUGUGACAUCCUAUCAUACCGUGUCAUAAAAUAUUACCAUGCUCUGCCAUGCCAUCAUGUUAUGUUACACCACAACACUGCAAUAUAUCACCAUCCUGUAACAUAGCAUCACACCAUGCCAUGCCACCAUGCUAUAAGAUACCACCAUGCUGUGUUACACCAUCAUACCACACCAUGAUACCACCACACUACUAUCAUGUCAUGCCAUAUCAGCAUGCCGUAACAUAGCACCAUGUUAUCCCAUACUACUCAGUUAUCCCAUAUCACCAAGUCAUGGCAUACCCACCUGCUCUAAUAUACCACCAUGCUAUGAUGUAUUAUCUCUUCUUUGUGCCAGAGCACACCCUGUCUCUGGUGAGCUCUUUCUUGCUAUUGGCUGGAGAUUCUGGUUUUUCUGUGAAGCCACCUGCCUGUGACUCAUUCAAGACUAAGCCAUCCUUCCUUUCUGUUCAUGCUUCAACAAGAACAUCUCUCCAUCAUAAUCUUUAUGGCAGAGUUAUUGCUAUCCCUCUUAUUAGAUUGAAAUAUCAGUGAGAGAGGGAACCAUAUUUAUUUCCCUACAUUGCUUAAGCUAAUAUCAUGCUUGACAUAUCACAGAUAGUUGAAAAAUAACCAUUGAACUAAAUUCUAUUUAAUGAGACAGUAGAAAGAGCACUAGACUUGGAUUCAGGAGCCCCAAGUCUAAACCCUACAACCAACCAACAAAUGAUCUGACUCCUCAGAAAAUACCUCGUCUCCACAUAGGGAUAAUGGAUGACAAUAUUUCAUAGAUUUGUCCCAGAAGACCCCGGUAUAUCUCAGAGCAUAGUGGCUGCCCUUCUGCCCAGCACACUUACCUCACCCAUAAUUACUCACUCAGGGUCCACAAAGUUGGUAGAGGGACAACAUAGAACAGAUACGACCACCAUUGUGAGGCCACCCUGUGUCAGACAUCACCAAGCACAAUUUAAAUGACACCUUUGGGUACCGGAAGCAGAAACACAGUGGAGUUGAGUGUUAGUCAACUGGUAACAUUUCCCAAGAGGAUGAUCGCUGGUCAGCAGAGAUCUGGCAAGAGUUACAUAGAACUCCAAGAAGCUGGAGAAAGUCCCCCAUUGCCUAAUGCUACCAGAACUCUAUUGGGACCACUGUGGGGGUCUGAGGACACACAAUCCUGCCCCAUUUCAUGUCUGCUCCCUGGGGUUGUAGGUCUAACUGUUCAUCCCUGACUGAGUCCUGUUAGCCCAGUGUCUGUAUAGAGUGGUGACACAGACACAUCACUCACCCUUUUGGGGCCUCAAAUCCCUUCAUUUUAGAAAAUCAAGGAGGAUUUCAUUCUCCAUGUGAGCUCCCUUUUCUUCAUCAAACCUUUGAUUUCUUUGGAUGUCAGGGUGGAUAGUGAUAAUGCUGAAGUCAGCCGGGAACAAUAGUAUCAAAAGGUUACAAAAAUCAAGACAAACAUGGCAUUUUGGCUCUUCAUCUACCAGAUCCCCAUGGGUAUGAGCAAGAGAGAUAAGGAGAACCUGAUUUUUUAAAAAAGUCUGGACAACUAUAGAGCUGAUGCCACAGUUUCUUUUGGUUUUCGUUUAAAAAAAAAUGCCAGUAGGUAAGGGAUCUAGAGGAAGUAUAACUGAGUCUUGAAUGAAGCACUGUUUAUCAACAGCCCUGCUGGGACAUUGGCACAUUUGGAGUUCUUGAGCUUCUGGACUCAAUUUUGUCAAUAUGUUGUACUCCCCAAGGAUACAAAGUUCUUGUUACCAUGACAAUCACCUCAAACAACGGGACCCUGGUGCCCCACUGUCACAGAGAUGCUCCCAAAUAGAACAAAGGCCACAGCUGCUGCAGAUGAUGCUCAGAGGAGAGAAUGGACCGGUAUUAGCCAGAGCAUGUCAGGAAAGGAGGAUGAGCAAGACCUGGUGUGCUAAAGCAUCCCUGACCCUUCCAUUAUUCCUCCUCCUGCCUAGAUCCUCUAUCUCAGCCAAUACCAGGUCCAUGAUAAGCAUCUCUUCUAAAGAGAAGCCAUCCUGUGUCUUACAGUCCACACUUCCAUAGUACAUAGUCCUUAUGCCAUCAUUCUGUAACUGCCCCACUAGCAGACACAUGACUGGAGAAAUUCCAAGAGGACAGGAGCUGUGCUCUGGUUCAGUGUGAGCUCCAGAAUUCUCUGUGUCAUUCUAACACAAAGUAUCUGCUCAAUAAAUUCUUAUUGUAUACAUCUUACUCUACAGACAUGGGGAAAGGCCAAAACAGGUUGAUAACGUGAUUUAAGUAAAAUCCACCCACCAGCAUCUCCAAGAUACCUAUUGUCUGUAAAAUGAGAAUUUCACUUCUUGUGUCUUCUGUAACUGCAUAGCCUGAGUUUAAUCAAUAAUCCUCCAAAUGAAAGAAAUUUUGAUCAAUGUCUAAUAAAAGUUAUAGGGUAGCCUCAGACUAAUUAGAAAAUAAAAUUAACUAUAUGUUCUGCUGCUUCUAUAGACAUCCAUGGUGUAUUCCAUUCAUUCAAUGCUCUAGGCUUUUUGGUGAUAUAUUAAUGUGUUAGGAUAUGAAGGAUGACUAGAUCUGAGACUGGAAAAAGGAUGCAGCAGGAGGAAUCUCCCCCCUGCACAUGUGUCCACUGAUAUUUCUUGGGGUGGGAUGAGGAGACCCUGGCUAUCCUGUUUGCCAUCUUUCCUGAGUGUCUUAGAGUUUCUAUUGCUGUGAAGAGACACCAUGACCAUGGCAACUCUUAUAAAGGAAAACAUUGUCAGAGGUUUAGUCCAUUAUCAUCAUGGUGCAACAUGGUGGCGUGCAGGCAGACAUGGUGCUGGAGAAGGAGCUGCUACAUCUUGAUCCCUCAGGCAACAGGAAGUGGUCUGAGAUACUGGGCGUGGCUUGAGCAUGUAUUAAACCUCAAAGCCCACCUCCACAGUGACACACUUCCUCCCAUAAGACCACACCUACUCCAACAAGGUCACACUUCCUAAUAGUGCCUCCCCCUUUGGGGGCCAUUUCUUUCAAACUACCACACUGAGCAUAUCACCUCACUUCUCUGGACCCUGGUUCCUGCUUGUAAAAGUCGAGAAAAUAAUUUCUUCUCCCUUCCCAUCCACAGACACACAAACUGAUGGUUCUCCCUGUGUUAGAGAAUAAGGGAGCUUUUAGACUCACGGGGGUUCUUCCAGACUCUUUGGAGAGGCCUAGAUUAAAAAUACCAUUCAAUGAACCAUUGAAUGGAGUUAUUAUUCUAAGAUAGGUGGCCCUAAAUACCACAAAACCACUCAUUCCUAUUAUAAGGCUACUAGGACCAAGCCUACAAAAACAGGCAUUGAGAAGACUAGUUAGUAUUAACUAGUUAGUACUAACAAGGACUUGACACCUUAUCUGCACCCUGCCCAUUCAAUCACCCAGCUCUGGGGGAAACUACACUGUGUCUUAAAGCCUAACAGAGUGAUGGGAAAGCAAUGAGAAAGAUACAGGACUGACCAACUGUGAGAGAUUACGUUUCUGGUGAGAGGUGGUGGGCUCACUCGCUCACGCCUGUACUUUGGAACACACAUCCACUAUCCUCAGCAGCCUUUCUACCUCUUAGCCUGCCUUGCUGUUCAACAGUUGGCUGCUCUGGGAUCCUUGCCAGCUCUGUAGGCAGUGUUAGUGCAGAUCACAAGGCAUAGAACCCUGGCCUGAGGCACUCAUUGCAUUGUCUGGUGACUGCAUCUUAGGAUAAUACUAGCCUUUUGUCCUAGACUCUCAACCUGCAUCUCACGUCGGCAUGCCUAGGGUCUGGCACCCAGGUGUGGUCACUCUGUGUCUUCAGAAUCGAUGCUUGCCCUGUUUCCUUCACGACCAGACCCAGGGGACAGAGAGGAAAUGAGUGGCAAGAUAUUUUCAGAUUUAAUAGUGACCCUAAGGGUAACAUGCCCUUAAGAAGACAUCAACUUUAGUCCACGCGUGGAAACGAAAUUGACGAAACGCCAGUGGGACUGGCUUGGGUCUUGUCUGGUUUUGAUCUGGUCCUCAAGAUCAUUGUGCCCAAAGGCAGCCAACGUACCCUUUGCUACCUCAACCUGAAUUUUUAUAAAAGAAAUUUUUUUCAUGCGUAUCUUUUUAUAACGUUUUAUUAACCAAACAAUAGGAUAUACUUUUAUUAUAAAAAAAUUAAACACACGUAAAAGUAGGAAGACUGUAAUAAAUCUCACAUACCCAACACCAAGCCCCAGCCUGUGUCCAGUCUUGCUUCACCUGCACUUGCUGGACUAUUUUGAAGCAAAUUCCAGGCAUCGUGGUGAACAAAUGCUUUUUGAUUCGUACAAGGUCUAAAAAUUUUAAAUCUUGAGAAAGUCCUUUGUAGAGUUACUUCCCAAUAAAUGGAAUGGGGGAAGUAUGAAAAUCCUUUGAAAUCAAGAUAUAUAUUCCUCCAGAGCGAGAACCAGGGCACUAUGUACAAAGCCAGUGCUGACCUUGCAAAGACCAGAGCCUCUGGGCUCUCUUUAGAACAAAGAUGCACAGAGUUAGGAGCAGCCAAAUGGACAAACCCACUCCAGGGCCUUUUCGUUCUGCAUCAGAUACUGUACCCCACACCCAGAUACAUACACGCACCCACUCCCACAAGCAGGCACAUGACGGGAGAGACACCUCUAUCCACCCACGCACUCUGCUCCCAUCAGUUGUUUUCCAAACACUUUGGAGAGAACCCAGAGCCUACGGCCUGGAAAGCUUUUCUUUCUCAAGCAGAACAUUGUUCCACAGAGGCUCAGAUCUGUGGCUCCUGGAGGGAUCACCACGGGAUGGAUCAAAACAUACAACCCACGUUCACUCUGUGUACCAAAGUGCUCCUUUUGGGGUAUCAGGCUAAAAACUGGUGACGAACACCACAUAGCAGCCAGUGUUGUUUAUACGGGGAGCUAUUAGUUCUGUUUAUGUACUUAAGAUCCCACAGUGGGGAAACUCCUGCCCACACAACACUUUGCCUCGCUCUGAUGCCAUCCUGUCAAUCUCGAAGCACUUAACACACGGUACUUACACCUAAGGAGUGAGUGAAACACAUCAUCAUCCUGAAGGACAGACCAGACGGAAACCUAACAGCUUUCAUGAGCCUUCCUCUUCCACUGUCUCAGGUCCAGGUUACUUCAUUUCUUUUGAUGAUUCAUUUUAAUGUACAUGUAUGGGUAGGGGUCUCUGUGAGUGUCCACCACGUGUGGGGUUUGGGGGAGUGGUACCUGUGAAGACCAGAAGAGGGUGUGUGAUCCCCUGGUGCUGGAGUUACAGGCACUUGUGGACACCAGACAUGGGUGCUGGGAGCCGAAUUCGGGUCCCCAGGAGGAGCAGGAAGUGUCCGUCACUGCUGAGCCAUCCCUCCAGCCCCCUUACUUAACUUGACAAAACAGCUCUAUUAUUUAUUUAUGUUAGCUCCAUGUUGCAGACACAGGAGCCUGGGAUUCAGAGGAAUUCAUUGAUUUUUUUUUCCCCCAAAAGCUACAGAGCUAGUCAAUGUCACAGGUACCCAAUCCGUCCCUCUACACCGGAAAUCCCUAUGAUUUUCAUGUGGGACAAAUUUCCAUUAUUUAAAUAAUUUUUGAUUUUUAACCUUUAAUUUUUAAAUAAUCGCAUUAUUGUAAGCUGGGCAGUGGUGGCACAUGCCUUUAAUCCCAGCACUCUGGAGGCAGAGGUAGGCAGAUCUCUCUGAGUUCAAGGCCAGCCUGGUCUACAGAGCUAGUUCCAGGACAGCUAGGGCUGCUACACAGAGAAACUCUGUCUCAAAAAAAAAAAAAAAUCAGUAUUAUUGUAAAAACACAGUAGCAGAACAAAGUAUUCCCAUUCACCAUUCACCCAACUUCUCCAGAGUUGGUGUCUCCAGUGAACAUAUUACAAUAAUCAAUAUUAUCAAUAUAUCAAGAAUUUAGCCUUGACAUAAGGCUAUUGUUGAAACUGCGUGCUUUAUCCUAAUUUUACCAGCCACCUCUAUUGUCCAGAGUCCAAACCAGAUGGCACACUGUAUUUCAUUCUCAUAUUUCUUUAGAUUGUGCUAGCCAUUACUUGGGAGGCAGAGACAGGUGGAUCUCUGUGAGUUCAAAGCCAGUCUGGUCUACAUAGAUUCUGUUAGUCUCGGACAAUUCCCCUGUCCUUCUUCAUCUUUAAUGACCUUGACACUUUGGGAAAGUACAAGCCAGCUAUUUAUUUUAGAAUAUCAUUUAGUUUAGACCUUUUUAAGUAUUUGAAAAGUUUUAGGAAGCCCCUGAGUGGGAUAGCUUCAUCAACCACCUCCCACAUCUCAGGGAACACUGUGACAGAGAGGACAGGAAGAACAUGAGACCCAGAAGAUGAGGAGUGCGUGAGAGCCUGUCUUUUGGACAUGGCGUGGCCAUUACGCUCAUGAACUCCUAGUAACCAUGGCUACCUGGACAAGACUUGAACAAAUCAAGCCAGUCAAAUUUCUAGCAUGGAUGGGAGAGAAGCUCACAAGGUUUUCACCCCUAGCUGAGGAGCUAUUGAUAGCUGAUGGCUAAUGGGGGUGGGUGGGUGGUAUCAUUUUUCUUUGAGGUAAGGUCACUGGUAGAUUCUCCAUCUUCCAAUGGAUGACCCCAUAACCCUACAUAUGUGGGCAACACCAAUUAGUGACUUAUUUAAAACCAUAAAAGAUGACAUGAAUUUGGGAGUGAGAUGUGGCAGAACAUGGGGGGCAGUUGGAGAAGUUGGAACAGGGUAGAUACGACCAAACUACACCACAUACAUGUGUGAAAUUUUCAAGUAAUAAAUAAAAAAUAGCAUACUCAUAAAGUUUCACAAAUCACCCUAUGAGCUUCUUGGUCCGCCUUUUCUUUUGUAUCCUUUAUAAUAAAUUGUAAUAAUAAGCUUUUUUUAAAAAAAUAGUUUAAUUUUCAACUUACAUGUAUGGUUGUUUUGCCGCAUGUAUGUGCACCACAUGCUCGCCUGGUUAUCUAAGACAGUCAGAAGAAGGGAUCAAGUCUCCUGAAUCUGGAGUUAUAGGCCAUGAAGGUGCUGGGAAUCAAACCCAGGUCCUCUAAAAGGGCAGCGGCAGGUGCUCUUAACCACUGAGCCAUCCCUCCAGCCCCCAAUAAUAAGCUUUUUCAAAGUAAUGAACUAGUGUUAUGCUGAGAAAAAGUUUCAUGCACCCUCAAACGAUCAUAGCCAUGCUUUGAAAAUAUUUAUUGGCAUAGUUAUUGACAAGAGGUGAUUCUCCAUGGAAGGACGAUUUUGAUUUUGCUCACCGUGAUGGUUUCCCUAUACAUUUGAAAAAUGUUUUAUAUAUCUAAGGUAAUUUUUAUGUAGUUGACAGGUGGGGUAAAUUUGGUUUCACGCACCCAUCCAUACAUAUGCACCUCUUCCUGAAGUCAUCAGCCCACAGUCACACACAGUCCAAGGCAGAAAUUCUCCAGGAAAUCUUGCAGGAAACAAUGGAGACUGACAAGGUCGGAUAACAACAUCCAGAGGAUGUUUAUUGUGUGCCUGUAACUUUAUUGUAUUCUGGCAUGAUGCACUCUGCUGAGAGUUUUUGCACACAAUGCCCUGUUAUUAUCUUUCUUAUUCUAUGGUGGAGGAAAUUAAGAUUCGGAGUGUGACUCAGCCAAUGUCACACAUUUGCACAGUAGCAUUGGGAUUUAUGAUCCCAAUUCUGAAAGCAUCUUGGUCUAGCUUUUCAGCCCUUUGUCUAAGGUCAAGUUCAUAGUCCUAUGGUCUCAUGCACCAUGCUAAUUUUGUCAAAAGCUCAUCAUUUGACUCUGUGUUCCCAUUGAACUCAUUUGUGAGACAGUUUUCACUGCUUGUGUUCUAAAUUCUUUCCCCAACUUGAUCUUUUUUGUUUGUUUGUUUGUUUUUGUUUUUCAAGACAGGGUUUCUCUGUGUAGCUUUGGAGCCUGUCCUGGGACUCACUUGGUAGACCAGGCUGGCCUUGAACUCACAGAGAUCUGCUUGGCUCUGCCUCCCGAGUGCUGGGAUUAAAGCCAUGGGCCACCACCACCCGACCCCCAACUUGAUCUUUAAUGCUCAGUUCUAAAGCUGUUUUCCCUUUCUCUUUCUAUCCUCCCUUCCCCUCUCCCGACCCUCCUCAUGUUGGGAAUCAAACCCCAGGCGCUGUACAUGCUAAGCAAGUACUGUACAUCCCCCUUUCAUAAAGCCAUUCAUUCUUCUGGUAGAAGGAGAGACUAGGUUUCUACCAGCCCUGGGUACCACUCUUCUUCCCUCUAAUGCAGUAGUUCUCAGCAGGUGUGUUGAAUACCAGAUAUCCCGCAUAUUAGAUAUUUACAUCAUGAUUCAUAAUAGUAGCAAAAUUAUAGUUAUGAAAUAUAGUAGCAAUGAAAUAAUUUUAUGAUUGGGGGUCACCACAACAUGAGGAACUGUAUUAAAGGGUCUCAGCAUUAGGAAGGUUGAGAACCACUGCUCUAACACAUCACAAACAAAAGCAGCAGAGCUAGAAGCAGCCUGAGUAUUCUCAAGUUCAGCCUCGUUGUAUAAAGGAGGAAACGAUGAUGCUAACUAGUAUUUACAGAGUGUGUAGUGAGGGGCGGGCUGUGUUCUCAGUGUUUGCCACAGAGUGUAUCAGUCAACACUCAUAACUACCAAGACAACCACUAUUGCAGGAGAGGCUUCUAGAACUCACUCAUCUCUGAGCAUCUUCUCCUUAGGCAUCCGGAGGAUUGCUGUUAGACAAAACCAUGUUUCAAGAUGCAGUCAGUGAGUUGUGGAAGAAAUCAAUGUGUCACUCUGAGCUGAAGCACUUAAUGAAUUGUGAGGCAUGGGUCUGUUCAGUGUCUGUUGCUCUGUUCUGGGAUUCCUGGGCUUUCCCAGGGAAGCUCCUGAUUUGACUGCAUUCAAAUUCUCUCUGAACACAGCCGUCUUAGUUAGGGUGUCUAUUUGCUGUGAUGAAACACCAGGACCAAAGCAACUUGGGGAGGAAAGGGUUUAUUCAGCUUACAUUUCCACAGCACUGCUCAUCACCAAAGGUUAUCAGGACAGGAAUUUAAACAGGGCAGGAACCUGAAGGCAGGAACUGAUGCAGAGGCCAUGGAGAGGUGCUACUUACUGGCUUGUUCCCCAUGGCUUGCUCAGCCUGCUUCCUUUUGGAACCCAGCACCACCAGCCCAGGGAUGGCACCACCUGCAAUGGGCUGAGUCCACCCCCAUCAAUCACUAAUUAAGAAAAUGCCCUACAGGCUUGUCUACAGCCUGAUCUGAUGGAGUUUUCUUAACUGAGGUUCCCUCCUCUCAGAUGACUCUAGCCUGUGUCUAAUUGACAUAAAACUAUGCAGUACACCAACCCAGGAGUGGAACCAAUGAUUGUAUCAGGAAACUUACAUUAACUGAAUAACAGGAAAAACAAAACAACCCCCACAAAUCUUAAUGCAACAUAUAAAAAGUAGCGCCCUCUUGUGUCAGUAUCCCACAUGGAUGAACUUUUCCAUCUAGCAGCCUCCCUGUCUGGAACAGGAAGCUUCUGGGUUCCUGAAGCAGGGAAGAGAGAAAUGCACGAGGCAUUUCUUCCUGCCUUUGUCCUGGGUGGCAUGGCACUUCCUUCAGGGACACAUGGUCCUGGGUCUUCCCAAAGAGGCCCAUCCUCCUGAUAUAGUGCCCAAAGAUCUAGUCCUUAUCUGUCCUAGAAUUUUGAGUCUGUGGCUAUGUUUCUUUUUCCCAUAUAGCUGUCUCCUAAUAUACAGUAUUCUUAGCACAAUCAGCUAGCCACCUUGGAAUUGAAUAGAAAGAGAGAGAGAGAGAGAGAGAGAGAGAGAGAGAGAGAGAGAGAGAGAGAGAGAGAGAAAGGAACGAAGGAAGGAAGAGAGAGGAAAAAAAAGAAGCAUCAAAAGCAAAAACCUUAGGGUUUAAAAUAGAAUCUACGGCACCAUAUGCAGAUCAUGGCCUCCAGCUCUGCAUUUCAUCCCCUUCCUGGGGUCCUUUUGAUGUCCAUGAAGGUUUGUGAACCAUUCUUAAAGUGUAUGGUGGUUGAUGGUCAUUGUCAACUUGACUGGAUUUAGGAUCCCAGGAGCCACCCCUCUGGGUGUACCUAUGAAGCUGUGUCUAGAGAGGUUGAACUGGGGAGGAAAGAACCACUCUAACUGUGGGUAUCACCAUUUCAUGAGCAAUGGAAGAAAGGCGGAAAGAGAAAGUCCCCAGAGCAACAGAGCCUGCUUCCUGAUUGACACAGAGGUAAGCAAGCUCAGCCACCACGCCUUCCCCCUUCUGGAUGGGUUGCAACCUCAAAUUGUGAGCCAAGAUAAACCCUUCUCUCUCUCUCUUUUUAAAGAUUUAUUUAUUUGUAUUUUUAAUGCAUAUUGGUGUGUCGCCCUGUACAUGUAUCAACGCAGCACAUGCAUGCAGUGCACAUGGAAGCCAGAAGAGGGCAUCGGAUUCUUCAGAACUGGAGUCACAGACCUUGUGAGGCACCUGUGGGUGCUGGGAAUCGAACCUGUGUCCUCUGGAAGAGCAACAAGCACUCUUACUGGAGAAGCCAUCUCUCCAGCCAAAUCUUUCUUUCUUAAGUUGCUUCUUGUCAGAUGUCCAGUCACAGAAAUGAUAAAAAGUCACGACUACAAGGUGUGAAGCCCAGGGAGAUUAACAACGUUCGAGAAGUAUUAAAGACGGACUGUUACUACAAUGAGAUUUCUGUCCUGGACACAAUCCUAAGGCACAAGAUCAAACUGGACAGGAAUAGUAUUCUCGUGUGUGAGUCAAUGUUAUCUAGAAGCGUAUCUAUCCUAUUCCAGAUAUUCCAGAACACUAGUCCAGGGAUGGCUGGAAUUCGAGCACCCUGCUGAUGUGCACUGGGCUAGCGUUGUUCUCAACCUUGGCCAAAGAGGCUGCUCUCUGCAAUGGACAGCAGUUAACGCAGCGACUCUUAACGGAUCAAAGCACCGAGGACAAGUGACUGUUGAGUGCCUGUUCCCACUGGGACACCUGUAUCACCCCAUCCAACUCAAGACCCGGGGAACCCUGCAGAGAAGAAGAUGGGAAGGAUGUAAGAACUGGAUGAUGGAAGGAGCGCUCUGAGACGCCGCCUUCUGGACAUGAUGCGGUCAUUGCCUUCAUGAACUCUGUGGCUGCUGUGGUUGCCCACCCAAUAUCAAGCCAACAGGAUCAGUCAGAAUUCCAACAGGCAACACAAAUUGGACUCGGUGAGUUAUAAAAGAAAAAAAAAAGAGAGAAGAUAUGAAGUGGAGGGGGGUAUUCUGAUGGACAGUCAGAGGGAGUGGGAAGGGCUAUCGGGGUAGACGACAUCAAUAUAUACUCUGUCUAUAUGAAAUCAUCAAAGAACAAAUAAGAUAUUCUGGAAAAUGUAAAUUAAUCCCAUGUUGUCACACGGUUAGCUCCCCUGUCUACGCCCACUUCUGCUUUGCAUAUCCAAACAAGGAGGUGUCAAAUGUGCACUGUACAUCAUACACACAUGUAAAGCCUGCCUUGCAUACACUUCAUCAUAGGGUGUGGGGGGACUGCUGUGCAGCUUGGGCCACACAAUAUUCACUGGCCAGCCCCUUCACAUCCAGGCUCCCCUCCAACUUGGCUUUCUUCCCAUCAAACCAGAAGUGCUCACUCAUUUCCACAGUCCUUCUAGACUGUCCCCUUCCUUCAGCCUGCUUCCCUCCCCCACACUCAUGGGACAUAGCUGGGCUUCUCCAACAUACCAUGUUCUCGGCUGUUGCCCAUGUUCAUCUUCUCUCGGGCUCCCUUGGAAUCCAUAUUCCACAACUUCCUGCCCUCCCAGCUCUAUUAAGUAACGCUCUGUGUGAAUGGCUGAGCUUGAAGCCACGCCCAAUAAGUGAGCCAGUCCUUCCCAAACUGAUGCUGACUGGCAAGUACAAGAUUACUCUAGUGGGCAUCAUGCGGAGCAGAGAUUCUCAACCUCUGGGGCACAACCCCUCUGGGGGUCGAAUGACCCUUUCACAGGGUUUGCAUAUCAUUAUGACUCACAACAGUAGCAGAAUUACAGCUAUGAAGUAGCAAUGAAGAUAAUUUUAGGGUUGGGGGUCACCACAACAUGAGGAACUGUAUUAAAGAGCCACAACAUUAGAAAUGUUGAGAACCACUGAUGUGGAGGAUCAACAGAUAUUUGAUUUGAGAAUUGUACUACACAGUUGUCAGGACACCAAUUGUCUUCCCCCAACCCAUUCCCCCUGCCCCCCGCCGUGUGUGUGUGUGUGUGUGUGUGUGUGUGUGUGUGUAAGAGACAAAGACAGAGAGAAAGAGACAUAUUCUAAUAUUUUCGUAAGCAUAGUAUGUACAUGUCAAUGAUACAUAAAUUGGCAAAAUGUCCAGGGACCUAGCGGUAAGUUUGGACAUCUUUAUGCCCAACAGACCAUUAAAGCAUUAGUAAUGAAGACUUAGAAGAACAUUAGGAUGAAGAAAGGGUCCUUGGAGCUUCCAAUUUAAGUAGGAACUUCAAAUGGAAGUAGAAAUGAAAAGGCAGCAAUGGAAACGCUGAGGGUAGUGGCCACCUUUUCUGGUAGGAACCUGUAGUCUUCAGUCCACAGUGGUGCCUUGCCAAUCGGCUAUGAAGGGUUUGCUCCCUUAUCCUGGUAUGUGCAUGGUGAAAAUUCACAAUUGCACCAAUCAUAUGACUACCAACAUCUUGGGGUUCCUAGAAACACAUGAAAAAGUCCAUUCGCUUCUCAAUGACAUGUUUGAAUACUCCUUAUACUCUGUUUACUGAAACAAGAUGUCCCAACAUUAGAUAAGCCUUGCAGAAGGACGAGUGUCAUUUGUUUCUGUUUGGAUUUAAGAAAUCCCUCUGGACCCUCCCAAACAAUGUCAUUUGUGAACUGAAACUCUCAAAUCGAGAAGGGAUCAUGAGUCCUCUAGCCCCAGCCUAGCUUUGACAGAAUGCAGUUGAUAGGGGUCAAAACUCAAACUGACUUCCCUGGAGAUCCCUCACUGGCCAAGGCACUGCCCUUUAUGGCCCUUCUUUCGUACCACAUGCUUUUAACAUUGGGUGGUAGUGUUGAUUUUUUUUCCUCCUAAACAUUCUCUCUCUUUUUUUUUUUUUUCAAUGAUUUUGACUAUGGAUAUGUCCAAUUAAGCAAACGUUUCAUCACUUAAUUUUGAGCAUGAAGUGAGUAUCAUGUACUGAGCUGAGAUCUAAUGGCCUCAGGAUGCCGAGGAAAAAGCACACACUGGUUGCUUCCUCCUGGGAUCUUAUAGUCCUUUCAUAAUGCCUCCCUUGGACCCAGGCAAGUCGUCUCUGGCUUUAGAAGGUUUAUAGCUAUUCCCUCUUCAAUAACACCUGUCCACAGAGAAGGAGUCUCCAAAGUCGAGGAACCAUGUCCCUCUUCUGGAAUGUGCUCCUGGGACCCUGGAGUUCUUGCCAAGAUAGAGAUGAGCCUGAUCCUAGGACCUGGAAGACUUUCUUCAGGUCUAUAAACUUCAGUCCCAGGCUAGAGAACUAGGGCGAGAAGCCACUGUUCGGGGAAUGGUACGGACAGAACUUGGACAAGAGAAUCAGAGUGGUCUGUGGACAUCUCCAUCAGCUAACGCAGAAUUCAGACAAAUCUAAAAGUUACACAUUCAAAUUCUCUCUCCCGCUUGCUUUGAAGGCACAGUCGUCAGGCUGAGAGGGUAGAGCUAUAUUUAACAGUUUGUCAGCUGGCUUUAUGACUUGUAAAUAUUCUAGCCUACAGUAUGUGAGCUUCUAUUACCAUCUUUGCCUAAGAUCCAUGCUAUAGGUGUGGGUUUGUUCACUGUGCAAAGAGGUAUUAAUGAAGCAAGUACACAAAGAGAUAUAAAACCAAAUUGCACUUCCUAGUGCAAAUACAUCCUCUGGGCCUAAACUGCUCUUCUGGAUCUCCAUUUCCCAGAGUUCUCAGUGUACCUUGCAGGUCCCCCCUGAACCUUGUAAAACCCUUUAUUCUAUGGUUCAAUAACCCACCACACUGGCUAAGACCUUCCACAUUAUUCUUGCUCCCUGUGAACAAAGGUCUCAGGAAGCCAGCCCCCAAAAGAACAAGAAAGGCACCCAAGUCUUAAAUUCCUCUAGACCUGUUUCCUGCUUUUCAUUAAAUCCAAAACAUGCACCUCCUCCCUACCCUGCUCCGGACUGCAUCCUUAGCCCUUAGCCCCGCCUCCAGGCAUUCCACAGCUUCCCAGCCUAGCAGGUGGUUGCAUCUCUGUGAAAGCACACUCUUCUCACAUCUCCUCUGCAGCUUUCUAUCUAGCCUCCACCUUUCUGAAUCUGUUUCCUCUCACUUGGUCUUCAGCAGCAACAGAGAAGCCUUCCUGACUAAUUGGGGGAAAAGUAGCAAACCCCCCACCCACCUACCGUCCUCCAUACCUGUCUUUCUGAAUAGGUAUCCAACCCACUGGCUGUUUUUAAACCUGCCUCUUUCUUGUUCAGAUAAUAACGAAGUUCACUCAGGUUCAUCUGCUGUGUGUUCUUGAUCUCUGUCAGGUCCUGUGAUGUCUGGGCUAGACAUCCCAGAAGACAGGGCCACAUCUAACGUGUGUCUCUAGCCCCUGCUCAGCAAAGCAGCAGGCCUAGCUGGCCCUUAGUAAAGACUUUGGUGUUGGAAACAGAGGAACAGCACUCUGUGCCUAGAGCAUUGUGUGUGCAGGAGAAGCCAUCCACGACUGUCCCAGCCCUCCUGCUAGCCUAUGAGCUGGAGCCCGCUUUAACAAAAGCAAGUGAGCGUGAUAAUAACAAUAACAGAACAUUGUCACAGCUGCUCAUGUAGUAUUGACCGACUUGGUUUUCAGAGUCAUCCUACAAAGCAGGGGCUGCCGUUAUUUUACAAAUGAGGAAUCCGAGGCACCGUUAGGCCACGUAACUAGUUCAUCACUCCAGUUAGGGCCAUCUGGCUUCAGGCAGACUCAGCCUACCAACCACAGUGCACUGUCCUUCUAGGAGGAUUGGACAGCAUUAGCCACAAGUAGAGAGUGAGGGGAUAUGCAAAAGCCCCUGCCACACACUCUCAGGGGUCUUUGAACACGGUCUUACAUGAAGGAAUGGCUGAGAAGAGAAAAGAAUGGCUACUCAGGAACUUUCUAGCAGGGAGCCAACAGGUAGGUUCUCAAAGCAUUUGUUCACACCUCACCCUUCCUUCUCCUCCCAGAACCCCUCCUCUGUUUCUCAAACAUUCUAAGUCUGCUCACACUUGCAUUAUUGAGUUAGUUGUCCCAUGCAGCCAGACUGCUUUCCCCAGGUCUGUACCCGCUCCUCGUCACUUAGGUGCCAGCUGGGAUGGAGCAUUCUUAGGAAGACUCUUCCUGUUUGCCCUAUCCGGAUGUGGCUGUCCUCGUCUCGUCCCUUCCCUUUCAUUCAUGGUUAACUCAUUUUCAUGUUUGUGUAGUGCCUUGUCUGACUCGUCUGCACCACGGUUCUCCAUCUGGAAUCACCUUACUCAUCUACUAGUUCAUUUGCCCUCUGCUGUGUCCCCACUGGAAGGCCAGCUUCAAGACAGCAGAGAUCUCCCCUGCUUUUGUUUACUCACGGAUGCUUAGUACUGGCGCCAUAGCACCCUGUGGCUUUGAACCAUUUGUCAUGUACGUGCAUGAGUGAAUGGGUGCAAAGUCCUUUGUGGAAACCUGCAAGUGUGAACCUAACCGAUUUGAAUCCCCCUGGAACCCCUCACUACAACACUCCAAGCACUUUGCAAGAAGAGACCAAAUCUUUACUUUUGUCAAUCUUUUGGAUCCUAGAGUACUGACAAACUAGAGCAUGGUAUGUGGGAGGGUAAGUUUUUGGUUCCUUUGUUUGGACAGAGAAAAAAAAACCAAGCCAUUCAGCUAUUCAGAUCACUGCUCUCCUAGACCAGGGAGAGACAACUGCUUGACAGUGUGGUCUCUCUGUCUCUCUCUCUCAACAGAACUGAAAUACAGAAAUCUCCACCUGACCACUUCUCCAUCUCCCUCUCUCCUUGUCUAUCCCCACCUCUUCUCUUUCCUCUUUCUCUAGAGUCCCCCCCCUUCCCUCCUUUGUCUUCCUUCCUCAUUGAAAUUCUGUAAAGAAGAGUGAGAAGAAAGUGGGAAACCAUGUUCCCCACAUCUAGCACAACACCCACAUUUCUCUUACCACUAUAACACGAUCCCAGUAAAACCCCUUGACUCCUACAACAAGUAAACCGUCCUAAUCAUGAUAAUCAUUUUUUUUUUCCUUUCUUCAAGACAAGGUUUCCCUGUGUAGCCUUGGCUGUCCUGGAACUCACUCUGUAGACCAGGCUGACCUUGAACUCCAGAGAUCUGCCUGCUUCUGCCUGCCAAGUGCUGGGAUUAAAGGCGUGCGCCAUCACCACUGCCUGACCCAUGAUAAUCAUUUUUAAGAAGUGUUUUAUUUGGUCCCAUCUCAAUGAAGACACAGCCCCUCACACAUAAUAAGAGAUCCCAUUCCUCUAAUGAUGUUAGCUUUUUUAUUCAGCAUUCCAUUUAUAACAUAUAGUAAAGAUGACGAACAACAACAAAAGUUCCCAAUCCUUGAGCAGAUCUUGUGCCACAAGAGGGCAUUUUAGAAUAUUACUAAUGACCCCGCCCCCCUUAUUUUCCUUUUCUAAUAAAAUGCAGCUUUUCCAUGAUCGAAAAACAUGUUAAUAAUAUGUUAAUCCCUUACAAGGUAUUUUUACACUUCUGGGCUCUCCUACAAAGAAAGGAUAUGGAAAGCAAGUGCUAUCUCGUGGAAAUUGGAAUAGCGGCCUAGAGGCAUAAAGUUAUUUGAAGAAUAUUUCACAGCAGGUGAAAUAUUAUCUCAGCACAUGUUCCAAGACUUGCUGUUUUCUAGAGACAAGAGAGCUCUUGCCAGAAGGCUCACUUCCAACAGCCCCUGUGAUAUGCACACAUGUGCCAGCCCAUAUGGGAGAAGGAAGAAAUACUUUAGGAAGUUAAUAAGCAAAAUCACUCUAUGUUUUGGAAAAGCUGAGGUCCUUGAAUGAGACAAAUGCUGACCCAAAGUCAGGCUCAUCUUUGCUGUUAGUCACAGACCCACAUACCUUCUACAGAAGUUCAGUAUUGGCAAUGGAGCAACAUGCUAGAAGAAAGCCACUGAGUGGGCAACCUGGACCUGCUCACCCACCAGCAUAUCAUUUGAUGCUUCAGGUAAUCAUAGUCAUAUGAAGGAGAAGCCCAACCCUCGGUCUCUCAGAGAUCCUUAUUCACUACUUCCUUUCAUAAUGCCUAGACUGUAGCCCCAGGCAUCCCCGGUCCCUAAGGGCUUUGCCCAUUCAGAGACAAGAGAAGAAAAAUGAAUGAAAAUGUCAGCUAAGCCUGCAUCUCACGGAGUAAGCAAAAAAAAGGGGGGGGGGACUUAUCAGGAGCACCAACGAGGCAUCCUACUUCAUUGACAACUAUUCAAGAACACCCAGAAUCUCUCCGCUGAAGAGGUCACGGAGGUGAACAGUACCCCGCCCACAUCCCUAUCAAACGUUCCCUCUCCCGCAUCACUAAGGAGACCUGAUUUCCAGGGGAACCCUGGGACUGUUCCUUAUGUGUUUUCACAAUUCAGGGCUGUUGUGAGUUAGCACAUCUACCCAGUGUUGUGAACACAAGACAAUUGGUGGAGUAAUAAGAGGGCUGUCUGUGGAAAUCUGAAUAGAUAAGGAAGGGAGAAUCUGCCUGACUUGAAAAAAAAUUCUCCAUCCCAUGUCUUAGAUGGGGAAAGUAUAAGGGAAAGGAAGGGAAGGAGAGUAGAUCUGGCAAGAUUCUUUCCUAAUGUCCCUUAAACUCACUCUGGCUUAGAGUAUCUGCUUCCAACACAGGAAAAUGCAAGAUCACCAAGAAGUGUCUUGGCAAACUGAGGUAGCCGCAAAGGAAAAAAAGAAGAAGAAGAAGAAGAAAGAAAGAAAAAAGAACAAACAAACAAACAAGAUUUUUGUGCUUCACUCUAUGAGAAUAGGAAGAAAGAACACAAUCUUGGCACAAUUUCAGAAAAGGAAGAAAUUUGAAGGUAGAGCUGAGUCUGGGCUGGGGUGGGGAUUUACCAGCAAGACACCAACUGAAAGUGUUGUUUAGCAACAACCAUGAAGGUCCCUCUGAGUCACAUCAUUGCUUCUGGAUCUUCUGUUCUGAGUGCUUCUGGAAGUUUGGGCAUGGAAUUAAAGAGACUUGCAUUGGGGGGGAGGUGCAAAAUCAAAGCGUAACUGAGCUAGUUACCAAACAAGCUCCCUCAGGCACCUAUUGGUCAAGCUUCACCACAAGAGAAACUCUAAACACCGUCGCUGACACUAGAAACAGCAUAAUAGUUCCCUGGGGCAAACAGUUAAGUGGCCAUCUGCAUGGCCAGGAGAUACCACACACCAGAGCAGGGGAAAUGGAAAGG
Molecule: long non-coding RNA, 19499 nt
Organism: Peromyscus californicus insignis
Lineage: Eukaryota; Metazoa; Chordata; Mammalia; Rodentia; Cricetidae
Exons: 5
Source: RefSeq, a predicted model, not a curated record